Molecule: ribosomal RNA, 483 nt
Filed under: uncultured bacterium
Lineage: Bacteria
Description: partial 16S ribosomal RNA
Rfam family: Bacterial small subunit ribosomal RNA
Source: RNAcentral
GACGAACGCUGGCGGCGUGCUUAACACAUGCAAGUCGAACGGUGAAAGUGGAGCUUGCUCCGCUGGAUCAGUGGCGAACGGGUGAGUAACACGUGGGCAACCUGCCCCAGACUUCGGGAUAACUCCUCGAAAGAGGUGCUAAUACCGGAUACGAAGCCCCCAGGCAUCUGGGGGCUUGGAAAGCUUUGCGGUCUGGGAUGGGCCCGCGGCCUAUCCGCUUGUUGGUGAGGUAACGGCUCACCAAGGCGACGACGGGUAGCCGGCCUGAGAGGGCGACCGGCCACACUGGGACUGAGACACGGCCCAGACUCCUACGGGAGGCAGCAGUGGGGAAUAUUGCGCAAUGGGCGAAAGCCUGACGCAGCAACGCCGCGUGAGGGAUGACGGCCUUCGGGUUGUAAACCUCUUUCAGCACCGACGAAGCGCAAGUGACGGUAGGUGCAGAAGAAGGACCGGCCAACUACGUGCCAGCCGCCGCGGUAA